AGAUGCUAGACAAACUAACUUUAUUGGAGAGUUUGAUCCUGGCUCAGGAUGAACGCUGGCGGCGUGCCUAAUACAUGCAAGUCGAGCGAAUGGAUUAAGAGCUUGCUCUUAUGAAGUUAGCGGCGGACGGGUGAGUAACACGUGGGUAACCUGCCCAUAAGACUGGGAUAACUCCGGGAAACCGGGGCUAAUACCGGAUAAU
Molecule: ribosomal RNA, 202 nt
Filed under: Bacillus thuringiensis
Lineage: Bacteria; Bacillati; Bacillota; Bacilli; Caryophanales; Bacillaceae
Description: partial 16S ribosomal RNA
Rfam family: Bacterial small subunit ribosomal RNA
Source: RNAcentral